Molecule: ribosomal RNA, 459 nt
Filed under: uncultured bacterium
Lineage: Bacteria
Description: partial 16S ribosomal RNA
Rfam family: Bacterial small subunit ribosomal RNA
Source: RNAcentral
CCUACGGGAGGCAGCAGUGAGGAAUAUUGGUCAAUGGGCGCGAGCCUGAACCAGCCAAGUCGCGUGAGGGAAGACGGUCCUAUGGAUUGUAAACCUCUUUUGUCGGGGAGCAAAAGACGCCACGCGUGGCGUUCCGAGAGUACCCGAAGAAAAAGCAUCGGCUAACUCCGUGCCAGCAGCCGCGGUAAUACGGAGGAUGCGAGCGUUAUCCGGAUUUAUUGGGUUUAAAGGGUGCGCAGGCGGAAUGUAAAGUCAGCGGUAAAAUGUCGGGGCUCAACCCCGUCGUGCCGUGUAAACUGGCGUUCUUGAGUGAGCGAGAAGUAUGCGGAAUGCGUGGUGUAGCGGUGAAAUGCAUAGAUAGCACGCAGAACUCCGAUUGCGAAGGCAGCAUACCGGCGCUCAACUGACGCUCAUGCACGAAAGCGUGGGUAUCGAACAGGAUUAGAGACCCGGGUAGUC